Molecule: ribosomal RNA, 332 nt
Filed under: uncultured Acidobacteriota bacterium
Lineage: Bacteria; Pseudomonadati; Acidobacteriota
Description: bacterial SSU rRNA
Rfam family: Bacterial small subunit ribosomal RNA
Source: RNAcentral
CGCGUAGGCGGUCGAUUAAGUCCCGUGUGAAAUCCCUCGGCUCAACUGAGGAACUGCACGGGAAACUGGCUGACUUGAGUUCGGGAGAGGGAAGCGGAAUUCCGGGUGUAGCGGUGAAAUGCGUAGAUAUCCGGAGGAACACCGGUGGCGAAGGCGGCUUCCUGGACCGAUACUGACGCUGAGGCGCGAAAGCUAGGGGAGCAAACGGGAUUAGAUACCCCGGUAGUCCUAGCUGUAAACGAUGAGUGCUGGGUGUAGGGGGUAUUAACCCCUCCUGUGCCGAAGCUAACGCAUUAAGCACUCCGCCUGGGGAGUACGGUCGCAAGGCUGAA